UACGGAGGAUGCAAGCGUUAUCCGGAAUGAUUGGGCGUAAAGCGUCCGCAGGCGGCUAUGUAAGUCUGCUGUUAAAGAGUGAGGCUCAACCUCAUAAAAGCAGUGGAAACUACAUGGCUAGAGUGCGUUCGGGGCAGAGGGAAUUCCUGGUGUAGCGGUGAAAUGCGUAGAGAUCAGGAAGAACACCGGUGGCGAAAGCGCUCUGCUAGGCCGCAACUGACACUGAGGGACGAAAGCUAGGGGAGCGAAUGGG
RNAcentral lists this ribosomal RNA (253 nucleotides) under uncultured bacterium. Its description in RNAcentral is "partial 16S ribosomal RNA". It matches the Rfam family "Bacterial small subunit ribosomal RNA", at positions 524 to 776 of the family's 1533-position model. The record is from RNAcentral.